CCUACGGGUGGCAGCAGUGAGGAAUAUUGGUCAAUGGACGCGACUCUGAACCAGCCAAGUAGCGUGCAGGAUGACUGCCCUAUGGGUUGUAAACUUCUUUUAUAUGGGAAUAAACUGUUUCACGUGUGGGAUUUUGUAUGUACCAUAUGAAUAAGGAUCGGCUAAUUCCGUGCCAGCAGCCGCGGUAAUACGGAGGAUCCGAGCGUUAUCCGGAUUUAUUGGGUUUAAAGGGAGCGUAGGCGGACGUUUAAGCCAGUUGUGAAAUGUUGCGGCUCAACCGUAAAACUGCAGGGGGACCUGGGAGUCUUGAGUACAGUAGAGGUGGGCGGAAUUCGUGGUGUAGCGGUGAAAUGCUUAGAUAUCACGAAGAACUCCGAUUGCGAAGGCAGCUCACUGGACUGUUACUGACACUGAGGCUCGAAAGUGUGGGUAUCAAACAGGAUUAGAUACCCCAGUAGUC
RNAcentral lists this ribosomal RNA (460 nucleotides) under uncultured bacterium. Its description in RNAcentral is "partial 16S ribosomal RNA". It matches the Rfam family "Bacterial small subunit ribosomal RNA", at positions 338 to 795 of the family's 1533-position model. The record is from RNAcentral.